RNAcentral lists this long non-coding RNA (263 nucleotides) under Elaeis guineensis (African oil palm). Its description in RNAcentral is "long non-coding RNA (EGUI_LNC051185)". Lineage: Eukaryota; Viridiplantae; Streptophyta; Magnoliopsida; Arecales; Arecaceae. The record is from RNAcentral.
GGUUCUUUGUGCGUGGAGAAUUUACAUGAAAAACUUUUUCUCGUGUAGAGUAAGUGGUGCACAAGUGGAUAAGGUGGCGCAUGAGAUUAGUUGCCCAAUCAAAUUCAAACAUCAUUUGAAUUUGAAUGGCCAACCAACCUUCUUUAUCCACUCAAAAUGGUGCACAUAAGAGGGGCGUGGGAAGGCUUCUGCGUGGGAGAAAAUUUAUGAGAACUUAUUUUUCAUGAAUUCAAAUAGGCGCAGGUGAGGUGAGGUGGCGCAGG